Molecule: long non-coding RNA, 870 nt
Filed under: Homo sapiens (human)
Lineage: Eukaryota; Metazoa; Chordata; Mammalia; Primates; Hominidae
Description: HSALNT0097934
Source: RNAcentral
GGCUCCGCCGUCCCUUCGUUUCCUUGGGUCAUUCCCAGCCCGCAGGCACAGGUUCGGCCAAAUCAGAAUAGCUCCCGUCCUUUCAUUUUGUUUAGAUUUCACCUUAAGUCGACGCCACGGUGUGUAUCUAAAUACCUGUAUUUUUAAAGGACGCGCGGAAGCCGCAGGUUUCACCGCUGACUCGGAAACAUCACGCGGUCCCGCGCGGGAGUAGCACCGUCUUCCCCGCAGCGCCCGCCCCUCGCAUCCUCCGGGAAGCAUUCCGAGCUCAGGCCCAGCGCUUCUACGCCGCAGGCAACAGCCUUGUGGCCUCUAAGCCUUGCCGACUCCCCUACCAGGCUGAGCUCCUGGAGAAAGGGGCCUGUGGCCUGCCUUUAAUUUAUCACUCACAGAGUUUAUCGCGUGCCAGGCACUGUUCUGAGCUCUUUACAAGUGAACCCAUUGAAUCCCUUUUUAUACCUCUGGGUUAUCGUGAGGAAACAGAUGAAGGAUUCAUUUUAAACCCAGAAAGAAGGAGUACGUUGCCCAGGGUCACACAGCUGGUCAGUGUCAGAGCUUGGUUUCAAGCCCAGGCAGGCUGGUUCCAGAGCCCCAGUAUGUAGCGUGGUCCCAUCCCAGUUCAGGACUGGCAAAGAGUAGGCGCCAGGAAAUGUUUGUCCAUUAAAGAGUACAGACAUGAUAUUAGCUAACAAUUCCUGGAUGAUUUCUAUGUGCCAGGCACAACAAAUUACCAGAGAAGCACACUUAUUAUUCCCUUUGAGUCUGAGAGGAAUCUCAGACGGGAUGGUGGCAGCUGGGACUCCAGGGAUGCAGCCCGGCCCUCUUGCUGCGACUCAGAGGAGAGCUCACCCCAGUGGUGAGCAGUGAAGA